ACAAUGCAACGAAGAAGGAAGAAGGCAACUAGCUACUAGCUUCAUUCUUUUUCUUUAAACAUCAUCAUCAAGUGGUUAAUAUCUUUUACGUGCUUUCGUAUUACCAACGGUUCACUUUAUACAUCUUAUAAUACAAAUACUUACGAGUUACGAGACUAAAAAAAAAAAACCAUACAUACACAAACUCAGAAAGGAAAGAAAAAAGUCACGACUGCUUACUUUUAAAAAAAAUGGGAUUGU
RNAcentral lists this long non-coding RNA (240 nucleotides) under Capsella rubella. Its description in RNAcentral is "long non-coding RNA (CRUB_LNC003418)". Lineage: Eukaryota; Viridiplantae; Streptophyta; Magnoliopsida; Brassicales; Brassicaceae. The record is from RNAcentral.